This 377-nucleotide ribosomal RNA is filed under the name uncultured bacterium. RNAcentral's name for it is "bacterial SSU rRNA". It matches the Rfam family "Bacterial small subunit ribosomal RNA", at positions 523 to 898 of the family's 1533-position model. The record is from RNAcentral.
AUACGUAGGGGGCAAGCGUUGUCCGGAAUUAUUGGGCGUAAAGGGCGCGUAGGCGGAUACUUAAGUCUGGUGUGAAAACCCAGGGCUCAACCCUGGGAGUGCAUUGGAAACUGGGUAUCUUGAGUGCAGGAGAGGGAAGUGGAAUUCCACGUGUAGCGGUGAAAUGCGUAGAGAUGUGGAGGAACACCAGUGGCGAAGGCGACUUUCUGGACUGUAACUGACGCUGAGGCGCGAAAGCGUGGGGAGCAAACAGGAUUAGAUACCCUGGUAGUCCACGCCGUAAACGAUGAGUGCUAGGUGUAGGAGGUAUCGACCCCUUCUGUGCCGCAGUAAACACAAUAAGCACUCCGCCUGGGGAGUACGGCCGCAAGGUUGAA